This is a long non-coding RNA of Nomascus leucogenys (northern white-cheeked gibbon), 925 nucleotides long. RefSeq lists it as uncharacterized. The transcript has 2 exons. The record is from RefSeq and is a predicted model, not a curated record. Lineage: Eukaryota; Metazoa; Chordata; Mammalia; Primates; Hylobatidae.
GCCUGGGAGGUUGAGGUUGCAGUGAGCCAAAAAAAAAAAAACUAUAAAUAGACCACAAAAGAUAAACAGAGGAAAUGAGUAAAGAAACAGUCACCCAAAAGAAGGGAAUCGACAGAAAACAGAAGAAUAGGAAUAGACAUCGUAUUUUUGUCCCAUUUGAUUUUUUGUUUAAGGAUUCAAUAACGAAAUUUUGAGGGAUUUUUGUUUCCUCAAUCAACAGAUUUUCCCUGGUUGUUGCACCUGGGCUAUUAGCAGUGUCCUCAGUCUUUCUGCUCACACUCCCACUGACCCAGGCAGCAUGGGUAAUCUAUAUUUAUAUAAUCAUAAUCUAUAUCUGACCACAAAAGCCAGUAUCUUAUCUAAUGUAAAAACACUGAAAAGCAAAUCAUCAUCAUAAAAGUAACAGAAAAACACUGAAGGCAUUUCUAUUAGAUUCUAAACAAACAAGGAUGUCCACUGCCUCAAUUAUAUAAUCUAAUUACAAAUAACUAAGUAAGGAAAGCAGGGAAUAAUAUUAGUAUGUAGAAAUCAACAGCUUCAUGUAUACCAACAAUGACUCCAUUCAUAGCAACAUAAAACAAAACAUCCAGAAAUAAACUUAGUAAGAAGGGUCUAAACCUGUAUGAAAAAAGUUUUAAAACACCCUAGAGGACCCAAAAAGAAAUCAGAAUAUAUAUCACGUACAUAAAGAGGAAUAUUUAAUGUCAUAAAAAUGUCCCUAUUCCCAAGUUACUUUAUAAAUUUAAUGCAAUCCCAAUAAAAAUAACAAACUAGUUCUUCCUUUUCCCCCUCUGGAACUAGACAAGCUAAUUCUAAAAUUUACAAAGAAAAAUAAACAAGCAAGAAUAGCCAGGAAACACUGAAAAGGACGAGCAAUUAAGAGACUAGCUAUACCACAAAGUAAAACACAAUGAUAAAGCCUCAA